This 1120-nucleotide long non-coding RNA is filed under the name Pan troglodytes (chimpanzee). Its description in RNAcentral is "long non-coding RNA NONPTRT014413". Lineage: Eukaryota; Metazoa; Chordata; Mammalia; Primates; Hominidae. The record is from RNAcentral.
GGGAGCAGAAGGGAGCCCCUUGUCUUGUUUUUGUUCCUUCGCAGUUGACCCACAGCUGGAGUGCGAGCUGGGCAAGUAGGUGCUGGGCAACUUCUGGGGAGACUCAGGCCUCCUUAUUGGCCAUCACAAAGCCCCAGAGAAAAAGAUGCUUCCAAAAACUGCAAGAUAAGAGGAACAGACUGCUGCCCAUGCUCCUCUGCCCUGCUGAGCACUCUGGGAGAUGGACCUGGUUGGACACUAGAGCUCCACCCUGCAGCUUUCAGGUGGGCUCAGUAGAUGGGGAUCCUGGAGGAGACUGUAGAGCAGCUGCUGGCACAGUUGUCCUGGAGCUACCUGGGCCCAGAUGCCCCAGCUCUCUCCAUGCAGACCUUUCUACCUACCUCUCCUCUCAUACUGGGCUGUCCGUGUAGACAGCUGCAUAAGAGAAAAUAAUAUAUUCACGUGUACAGCUAUUGGCAAGAAGUCUUCAGAGAUGGAGAAACCGAUGAAGAAUCUUGCUGCAAGAUCCCAACCUAUGCCAAGGGCCACUGCGAGGAGCCAGCAUGGACACAAAAUUCACACCCAGGGCAGCUCCUGUGUCUUCUGAGCCUCUCAUGAGGGCUGCAAGCACAGUGGUCUGGUACUGCCUGCCUGUAAUGUUUUCUUUUAGAAUAGAUCCUGUGUGUAGAUGACAGAGCAUUCUACAUCAUUACUACGUGGGAUGCUGAGAACCAGGUGUUUUCUUCUCUGGGCAUAAGCUCCUGAGGCUCCCGAAAGUCUCAUCCUCCUGGGCCGAGGAUGCUGAAGGGAGCCGUGGGAUGGAAGGCGGGCCCAGAAAGCACACGGGCAGGCAGAAUCUGCUCUGCCCAGCUCCAGUGUCUUUUCUUUACUGUACUCACCGUAUGUUUUCAGAAAGACAGGCCAAGAACAAAAGUGGGAGCCACCUAAAUGUCCAACCAUGAUGGUCCAUGAACACAGUGCAAUGUGCAAGAUAAUUGUGAAAAUUGUGCGGAAGUAUGGGGAACUGCUUAGGAUACACAGUUAAGUGAAUAAGGCAGCAUGUUAAGUGUUAUAUAUGCCAUGGUUACAAUUCCAAAAAUAUGUAUGUACAUAGGCAAAUUCUGGAAGAAUAAAACCAGAA